RNAcentral lists this ribosomal RNA (551 nucleotides) under uncultured Diversisporaceae. RNAcentral describes it as "SSU rRNA". It matches the Rfam family "Eukaryotic small subunit ribosomal RNA", at positions 548 to 1098 of the family's 1831-position model. Lineage: Eukaryota; Fungi; Glomeromycota; Glomeromycetes; Diversisporales. The record is from RNAcentral.
UUGGAGGGCAAGUCUGGUGCCAGCAGCCGCGGUAAUUCCAGCUCCAAUAGCGUAUAUUAAAGUUGUUGCAGUUAAAAAGCUCGUAGUUGAACUUCGGGAUUUACCCAUUGGUCAGGCUUAAUUGUCUGUACUGGUGAGAUGAAUCUCUACCUUCUGAGGAACUUUCAUGCCAUUUAUUUGGUGUGAUGGGAAAUCAGGACUGUUACUUUGAAAAAAUUAGAGUGUUUAGAGCAGGCUAACGUCUGAAUACAUUAGCAUGGAAUAAUGAAAUAGGACGGACUGAUUCUAUUUCGUUGGUUUCUAGGAUCACCGUAAUGAUUAAUAGGGAUAGUUGGGGGCAUUAGUAUUCAAUUGUCAGAGGUGAAAUUCUUGGAUUUAUUGAAGACUAACUACUGCGAAAGCAUUUGCCAAGGAUGUUUUCAUUAAUCAAGAACGAAAGUUAGGGGAUCGAAGACGAUCAGAUACCGUCGUAGUCUUAACCAUAAACUAUGCCGACUAGGGAUCGGACGAAGUUAAUUUUAUAAUGACGCGUUCGGCGCCUUACGGGAAAC